GACGGAGGAUGCAAGUGUUAUCCGGAAUCACUGGGCGUAAAGCGUCUGUAGGUGGUUUAAUAAGUCAACUGUUAAAUCUCGAGGCUCAACCUCAAAAUCGCAGUCGAAACUAUUAGGCUAGAGUAUAGUAGGGGUAAAGGGAAUUUCCAGUGGAGCGGUGAAAUGCGUAGAGAUUGGAAAGAACACCGAUGGCGAAGGCACUUUACUGGGCUAUUACUAACACUCAGAGACGAAAGCUAGGGUAGCAAAUGGG
Molecule: ribosomal RNA, 253 nt
Filed under: uncultured bacterium
Lineage: Bacteria
Description: partial 16S ribosomal RNA
Rfam family: Bacterial small subunit ribosomal RNA
Source: RNAcentral